GAUGAACGCUAGCUACAGGCUUAACACAUGCAAGUCGAGGGGAAACGAUAUUGGAAGCUUGCUUCCGAUAGGCGUCGACCGGCGCACGGGUGAGUAACGCGUAUCCAACCUGCCCAUCACUUGGGAAUAACCUUGCGAAAGUAAGCCUAAUGCCCAAUGACAUUUAUAGAAGGCAUCUGAAAUGAAUUAAAGAUUUAUCGGUGAUGGAUGGGGAUGCGUCUGAUUAGCUUGUUGGCGGGGUAACGGCCCACCAAGGCGACGAUCAGUAGGGGUUCUGAGAGGAAGGUCCCCCCACAUUGGAACUGAGACACGGUCCAAAACUCCUACGGGAGGCAGCAGUGAGGAAUAUUGGGUCAAUGGGCGAGAGCCUGAACCAGCCAAGUAGCGUGCAGGAAGACGGCCCUAUGGGUUGUAAACUGCUUUUAUAGGGGAAUAAAGUGAGCCACGUGUGGUUUUUUGCAUGUACCCUAUGAAUAAGGACCGGCUAAUUCCGUG
RNAcentral lists this ribosomal RNA (495 nucleotides) under uncultured bacterium. RNAcentral describes it as "bacterial SSU rRNA". It matches the Rfam family "Bacterial small subunit ribosomal RNA", at positions 28 to 507 of the family's 1533-position model. The record is from RNAcentral.